This 110-nucleotide ribosomal RNA is filed under the name uncultured eukaryote. RNAcentral's name for it is "partial small subunit ribosomal RNA". It matches the Rfam family "Eukaryotic small subunit ribosomal RNA", at positions 1675 to 1785 of the family's 1831-position model. The record is from RNAcentral.
GUCGCUCCUACCGAUUGAAUGUUCCGGUGAAUAAUUCGGACUGCAAUCAUGGGGUCUGUGCCACUGUGAUUGCGGGAAGUUUAGUGAACCUUAACAUUUAGAGGAAGGAG